GACAGAGUGUAGGGUUUUUCUUUUAAGGGAUGGGUUUGGUGAGACUUAUGAGAGAUGAUGGCACUGAGAUUGCCAAGAUGGAAGCGUAUUCUACAUCUUGUAUCAUUGGAUUCUUGGAGGACCAUGGAAUGAAGAAUGUUAAAAGUUGCUAUGAUCUUGUCAGAAAAGAUGGGACACAUGUUCUUAGCGGCUGCAGCAGUGGCGAUGUGUACCUAGUUCCCAAGCUGUCUCUUGCAUGUCAGGCUGGAAACACAGCAGCAUGUGUGGCAGAAAUCACUAGCUGUGUUAAAAAGAUGGUAAGUCUAAAAAAGCUUUAAUCUUUUAGUGGUUUAUAUGCAAAAUACUGCAGGAAAGCUGGGUCAAGUCUAUGGCUGCAAAUCGUUAGAGGUUCAAAAUCAUUUGAAGUUUGAACAAGGCUUUGGUUUUUCAUUUUAUCAACAAGAAAACUGUUUGAUUCCAUAUUUUUUAAGUCCUUUGCAGACAGACCGAAAUAGUUUCAGAGUAUAGGAAAGAAUGAUCACAUAUAAAUAUUUUCACGGCCAGCACAUCAAUACAAUAUAAGCCACAGAAAUGGAAAGUUUUUACACGUCAACAACGUCCCAGUUUCGCACGACUGCAAAGUCUGAAGUUUCGAGCUGCCAAGCAGCGUUGCUCGACGCCGCUGCUGCUGGAGUCGACUGCUCGAGAACCGCGGCGGGAGAUCGUAUCUAGAACUGGUCUCUGCCGGUGUAAAAUUUCGGAGCCGUCCUCGUCAGCCGGGCGAUUGAAGGAUUGAAGCUUACGUACUUCUUGAGUCGCACUGUGGGAACCGAUGGAGAAGAAGCAAGAGAAAAUUAUUUGCAGAGCUCGCUCGGAAAUCUACAGCGUACCACUGACUUACAAGCUCAGCUCCCCGUCGCACCGGUGGUGCCGGAGCUACCGUGGCCAUCACCAUCGCUUUUAAAAAAUUCUUGGCGCCCCGGGAGAAUUUAAAUUCAUGUCAAGAUAUUGAGAUGUCAUUGAUCUUCGGUUUCCCGCAAUUUUUUUUCUACAAACACAGAAAGAGAAAGAAACGCUGGCCCAAGGGAAGAGCAGUGAAAAACUUCGGGCUACAAGACGUGUAGUCGUGCUUCCUCGUGGCUGGAGGAACCAGAGCUGGAGGAUCCUCAGUCAGAGCUGGCGCUGCAAUAUUGUUACCUGGAGAAAUUAGAGCUGGAUUCUUUAGUUCCAGGCGACGCUUUUGGCGAGCCACGCUGCGUGAGAAUAUCAUAUGCCGCGUCCAUGGAGUCUUUGAAAACAGCCAUGGAUAGCAUCGAGCAGUCCUUGACACUAAUUAAUAUUGAAUGAAGACGUUGCAUUUCAUCGAUGCUCUAUACGUGUUGACGAUUUCUGGAGAGAUUAAAUUAGUCUUAAUAUCCGAUGGCCACCAUUGGCCGGAUCCGGCGGCGCAAUAGUUCAGCAACUCAUGUAAAAAAGAUACAGGUUUAUUUUGUGCUCAACUGAGAAGCAUGGGAAUAGUGAGAGUUCUGAGAGAUGACGGCACCGAGAUUUUCAAGAUUGACACUAACCAUGCAUCUUAUAUCUUUGAUUUCUUGGAGGACCAUGGAAUGAAGAAAAGUUCCUAUGAUCUUGUUAGAAAAGAUGGCACACAUGUUACCAGGAGUUGCGACAGUGGCGAUGUGUACCUAGUUCCCAAGCUGUCUCUUGCAUGUCAGGCUGGAAACGCAGCAGCGUGUGUGGCAGAAAUCACAAGCUGUGCUAAAAAGAUGGUAAGUCUGAAAAAGCUUUAAUCUUUUAGUGGUUUAUAUGCAAAAUACUGCAGGAAAUCUGGGUCAAGUCUAUGGCUGCAAAUCGUUAGGUACAAAAUCGAACAAGGCUGAAACUAGCUCUUCAAUCUCUUCAAUACUUGUUUGGUUUUUCACUUUAAGCUGUUGUAGGGAGUUCACUUUUUAUAAAAUCAAUAUAAACCAUAGAAUGGAAACUUUUUGCAUUUCAAGAAGGCUUUCGGAAGUCGACAACGUCCAAGGUCUCCAGAGGACGUUGCUGCUUUAACCGUGCAAAGUCGAACGUUCCAAGCUGCCAAGCAGCGACACUCUUGCCGAGUGUCUGUUCAAGACUCAAGCAGAGCUCCAGCUAAAUAAUUUUCUGUGCCCCGGGGUGAAGACAUUCAGAUGUAGGUUCUGCGCAAUUUCUUUUCUACAAAUAUAAUUUUUUCUUUGACUCAAGAAACGGUGGCCAAGGAUAAAUCCGAUGGCUGUUAUUGGCCGGCCCAAGAAGGUAAUUAUAGAUAGAGUGUAGGGUUUUAUUUUUAAAGGAUGGGUUUGGUGAGACUUAUGAGAGAUGAUGGCACUGAGAUUGCCAAGAUGGAAGCGUAUACUACAUCUUGUAUCAUUGAAUUCUUGGAGGACCAUGGAAUGAAGAAUGUUAAAAGUUGCUAUGAUCUUGUUAGAAAAGAUGGGACACAUGUUCUUAGCGGCUGCAGCAGUGGCGAUGUGUACCUAGUUCCCAAGCUGUCUCUUGCAUGUCAGGCUGGAAACACAGCAGCAUGUGUGGCAGAAAUCACUAGCUGUGUUAAAAAG
RNAcentral lists this long non-coding RNA (2558 nucleotides) under Selaginella moellendorffii. RNAcentral describes it as "long non-coding RNA (SMOE_LNC001579)". The record is from RNAcentral. Lineage: Eukaryota; Viridiplantae; Streptophyta; Lycopodiopsida; Selaginellales; Selaginellaceae.